RNAcentral lists this ribosomal RNA (321 nucleotides) under uncultured eukaryote. Its description in RNAcentral is "partial 18S ribosomal RNA". It matches the Rfam family "Eukaryotic small subunit ribosomal RNA", at positions 1470 to 1796 of the family's 1831-position model. The record is from RNAcentral.
CCCUUAGAUGUUCUGGGCCGCACGCGCGCUACACUGACGAAUGCAACGAGCUUAUAACCUUGGCCGAUAGGUCUGGGUAAUCUUUGAACGCUGUUCGUGAUUGGGAUAGACCUUUGCAAUUAUGGGUCUUCAACGAGGAAUUCCUAGUAAACGCAAGUCAUCAGCUUGCAUUGAUUACGUCCCUGCCCUUUGUACACACCGCCCGUCGCACCUACCGAUUGAAUGGUCCGGUGAAAUCUCGGGACGGCGGCUCGGUCGCUUGCGUCCGACUGCUGAAACUUGAUUAAACCAUAUCAUUUAGAGGAAGGUGAAGUCGUAACA